Molecule: non-coding RNA, 73 nt
Organism: Rhincodon typus (whale shark)
Lineage: Eukaryota; Metazoa; Chordata; Chondrichthyes; Orectolobiformes; Rhincodontidae
Source: the annotation of a RefSeq genome assembly
GGCUCCGUGGCUCAGUGGUUAGAGCACUGGUCUUGUAAAUACCAGGUCGUGAGUUCGAGUCUCACUGGGGCCU